GAUGAACGCUGGCGGCGUGCCUAACACAUGCAAGUCGAACGAAGCACUGUCGAAUGAGGAUUCGUCUGAAUUUGGCUUUGACUUAGUGGCGGACGGGUGAGUAACACGUGGAGAACCUGCCUCUUACCGGGGGACAGCAGUUGGAAACGACUGAUAAUACCGCAUAAGCGCACGAGACCGCAUGGUCCUGUGUGAAAAGAUUUAUCGGUAAGAGAUGGCUCCGCGUCUGAUUAGCCAGUUGGCGGGGUAACGGCCCGACCCAAAGCGACGAUCAGUAGCCGGCCUGAGAGGGUGAACGGCCACAUUGGGACUGAGACACGGCCCAGACUCCUACGGGAGGCAGCAGUGGGGGAUAUUGCACAAUGGAGG
RNAcentral lists this ribosomal RNA (369 nucleotides) under uncultured bacterium. Its description in RNAcentral is "bacterial SSU rRNA". It matches the Rfam family "Bacterial small subunit ribosomal RNA", at positions 28 to 377 of the family's 1533-position model. The record is from RNAcentral.